UACGUAGGGCGCAAGCGUUAUCCGGAAUUAUUGGGCGUAAAGGGCUCGUAGGCGGUCUGUCGCGUCGGGAGUGUAAAACUCAGGGCUUAACCCUGAGCCUGCUUCCGAUACGGGCAGACUAGAGGUAUGCAGGGGAGAACGGAAUUCCUGGUGUAGCGGUGAAAUGCGCAGAUAUCAGGAGGAACACCGGUGGCGAAGGCGGUUCUCUGGGCAUUACCUGACGCUGAGGAGCGAAAGUGUGGGGAGCGAACAGG
Molecule: ribosomal RNA, 254 nt
Filed under: uncultured bacterium
Lineage: Bacteria
Description: partial 16S ribosomal RNA
Rfam family: Bacterial small subunit ribosomal RNA
Source: RNAcentral